CGAACUAUGGCAUCUACGAUGGCGUCAUGGACGCCAAGCUCUCUCCAGCUCAGGAUUGCCCUCAACUGUCGGAGCUUCAAAGCUGCUCAGGCGAGAGCGAAGUUGACGAAGCUCAGGAUUAUCCAGGUAUUAAGAUUAUAUUUCAUAAAAAAAAAUUUGGUUUAAUUAAUAUCUGAUUUUGUUUUCUUUUAAAUAAUAUUGUCGUAAUGUCUGGCUGCCACGGUUAGUGGGUUCCAUGAAACUUCUGUUGGUCUGUGAGUUUCAUAUUCGUCCGACGACCGACGACCGGUACCUUAUUUUAAGAGGCUCAGGAGAUUGUUUUGUUAUCAUAUACCGGUACACAAACAUUGGUAUUUCUGAAACCGAG
RNAcentral lists this long non-coding RNA (367 nucleotides) under Brassica rapa (field mustard). RNAcentral describes it as "long non-coding RNA (BRAP_LNC000950)". The record is from RNAcentral. Lineage: Eukaryota; Viridiplantae; Streptophyta; Magnoliopsida; Brassicales; Brassicaceae.